UUGGAGAGUUUGAUCCUGGCUCAGGACGAACGCUGGCGGCGUGCUUAACACAUGCAAGUCGAACGGUGAAGGGACUGGUUUUGCUGGUUCUGGAUGAGUGGCGAACGGGUGAGUAACACGUGAGUAACCUGCCCCCUUCUUCUGGAUAACCGCAUGAAAGUGUGGCUAAUACGGGAUAUUCUGGGUCUGUCGCAUGGUGGGCCUGGGAAAGGUUUUUUCCGGUGGGGGAUGGGCUCGCGGC
RNAcentral lists this ribosomal RNA (241 nucleotides) under Actinomyces naeslundii. RNAcentral describes it as "partial 16S ribosomal RNA". It matches the Rfam family "Bacterial small subunit ribosomal RNA", at positions 1 to 237 of the family's 1533-position model. Lineage: Bacteria; Bacillati; Actinomycetota; Actinomycetes; Actinomycetales; Actinomycetaceae. The record is from RNAcentral.